Molecule: ribosomal RNA, 386 nt
Filed under: uncultured bacterium
Lineage: Bacteria
Description: bacterial SSU rRNA
Rfam family: Bacterial small subunit ribosomal RNA
Source: RNAcentral
UAAGGAAUAUUGCUCAAUGGGAGAAAUCCUGAAGCAGUAACGCCGCGUGGAGGAUGAAGGGUCUAUGACUUGUAAACUCCUGUAAAGAAGGAAAAAAUUCACAUUAGAAGGGAGAUGAUGGUACUUCUGGAGUAAGCACCGGCUAACUACGUGCCAGCAGCCGCGGUAAUACGUAGGGGGCAAGAGUUGUCCGGAUUUACUGGGUGUAAAGGGUGCUCAGGCGGAUUUGUAAGUCAGAGGUGAAAUCUUACAGCUUAACUGUGAAACUUCCUUGGAUACUGCAAGCCUAGAGUAUGGAAGAGAGUGAUGGAAUAUCUGGUGUAGCAGUGAAAUGCGUAGGUAUCAGAUAGAACACCAAUGGCGAAGGCAGUCACUUGGUCCAUUAC